Molecule: ribosomal RNA, 433 nt
Filed under: uncultured bacterium
Lineage: Bacteria
Description: partial 16S ribosomal RNA
Rfam family: Bacterial small subunit ribosomal RNA
Source: RNAcentral
AAUGAACGCUGGCGGCAUGCCUAACACAUGCAAGUCGAACGAGACCACCGGGAGUAGUGGCGCAUGGGGGUGUAGCGCGUCGGAAGCUGCCCGUAUGUAUGGAAUAACUCUCCGACAGGGGUGCUAACGCCGGACAAUGUCUUCUAACCAAAGAUAUAUCGCCCUGGGAUGGGCGCGCGUUGGAUUCGCUGGUUGGUAGGGUAAAAGCCUACCACGGCGACGAUCCAUAGCUGGUCUGAGAGACUGGUCAGCCACACUGGGGGGAGGACGCGGCCGGGAAUCCUACGCGAGGGGGCAGUGGGGGAUCUAGGACAACCGGCGGAGGGCUGAACGAGCACUGCCGGGAAAGUGAUGUAGGCCUUAAAGAAGUAAAGCUCUUUUACCCGGGAUGGUACUGACGGUACCGAAAGAAUAAGCUCCGGCUAACUCCGUG